RNAcentral lists this ribosomal RNA (465 nucleotides) under uncultured bacterium. Its description in RNAcentral is "partial 16S ribosomal RNA". It matches the Rfam family "Bacterial small subunit ribosomal RNA", at positions 29 to 507 of the family's 1533-position model. The record is from RNAcentral.
AUGAACGCUGGCGGCGUGCUUCACACAUGCAAGUCGCACGAUGAAGCCCAGCUUGCUGGGUGGAUUAGUGGCGAACGGGUGAGUAACACGUGAGUAACCUGCCCUUAACUCUGGGAUAAGCCUGGGAAACUGGGUCUAAUACCGGAUAGGAGCGUCCACCGCAUGGUGGGUGUUGGAAAGAUUUAUCGGUUUUGGAUGGACUCGCGGCCUAUCAGCUUGUUGGUGAGGUAAUGGCUCACCAAGGCGACGACGGGUAGCCGGCCUGAGAGGGUGACCGGCCACACUGGGACUGAGACACGGCCCAGACUCCUACGGGAGGCAGCAGUGGGGAAUAUUGCACAAUGGGCGCAAGCCUGAUGCAGCGACGCCGCGUGAGGGAUGACGGCCUUCGGGUUGUAAACCUCUUUCAGUAGGGAAGAAGCGAAAGUGACGGUACCUGCAGAAGAAGCACCGGCUUACUACGUG